UCAUAUCGAUAAUUCAGUUCAAUAGAAUUAUUUAAGUAUAGCCAAACCCCGUUGGCAAAUUAAAAUUUUGAAAACAUUUUUCGAGAAUGACGUCAUGAUGCCGCACUGUAUUUACAGUCCGUUGAGGAUUCCGUCAUUUGGUGAUUUUAUCAUACUACAUCAUACCAUAGUGGGUUGACGAUCCUGAGAUCACAUCCAACACUAAGUAAUACUGCAUUGAUGACUUCAUCAUUUUUUUAUCAUCUCUGCACCAGGUUACAUGGUACAUAAGUGAUAAAUAAAAAUAACUUUUGACAUUUCAAAUCAUCUGCGUCUAGCCGAAAUAAGUAGCAUAAAUUGUACUUUAAACUGUUUCAAAAAUCUUUGCAAAUCAGUUUUAUCAUCUCAACAGGUAACGAGGUGUCGAUGGCCCGAAGUCCACGCAUACACAAUAAUCACCAGGAGUUGAGAAUAAAAAUUCAUUUUUCAAAAGCACAUAGUGCGUAUUUAGCUUGAUGUCAAAAAUUUGAAGUUUAGCAUAGCUAGGAGUUUAGGAAAACCUAACACCUUUACUAAUAAUCAUUUGCUUAACAAUCUAUCUGUUUCUGUAAUCCACAACACUUCAUUCACACAAAACUAUACCCAGUUCAUCAAACUUACCACACUUAUGAGUUCAGGAACUUACCACAAUUAUAUGAGUUUAAGAACUUUCCUAGAUAGACCUUUGGCGUCCAUUCGCUGAGGGGUCCAUAAACAUUUCAUAUAAUCAUGAGUCACGAACGUACCAUAAGUAUGAGUUUUAAGAACUCGUACUUAA
Molecule: long non-coding RNA, 796 nt
Filed under: Panax ginseng (ginseng)
Lineage: Eukaryota; Viridiplantae; Streptophyta; Magnoliopsida; Apiales; Araliaceae
Description: long non-coding RNA (PGIN_LNC002434)
Source: RNAcentral